This 497-nucleotide long non-coding RNA is filed under the name Homo sapiens (human). Its description in RNAcentral is "HSALNT0389835". The record is from RNAcentral. Lineage: Eukaryota; Metazoa; Chordata; Mammalia; Primates; Hominidae.
GUAGCAGCCUCCGCAGGUCCUGGCGGAAGCGCAGGCCCAGGAAGGCGUAGAGAACGGGAUUGAGGCCACAGCGGGCGAGGGCCAAGCCGCUGGUCACCAGCAGUGCGACAUCCUUGCGUUUGCUGGCAGGGCAGCUCCGCUCGCGCGCAGCCAGUAGAUCGGCAGUAUCCAGCAGCAGGGCGAGGCUGUAGGGCAGCUGCAGCACCACGAAGGCCGCCACCAGAGCCACCACGACGCGCAGCGCACGCCGGCGCUCGGGCCCCCUGGCGGCCAGCAGCGUGCGGCCCAGAAGCGCGUAGCAGGCUACCAUGACGCCCAGCGGCAGCGCGAAGCCCAGGGCCACCUGCGCCACGGCGCUCGCCCCCUUCACCGUCUGCGUGAGGCCCUCGGGGAAGAUGAGGCGACAGCGUCGUUGGCCUUCCCGCUGCCCAUCCUGGCUGAAGAGCAGCGCAGGCAGCGCCAGGAGCAGUGACAGCAGCCACACGAUGACGGAGACC